Molecule: ribosomal RNA, 195 nt
Filed under: uncultured bacterium
Lineage: Bacteria
Description: partial 16S ribosomal RNA
Rfam family: Bacterial small subunit ribosomal RNA
Source: RNAcentral
UGCAACUCGCCUGCACGAAGUUGGAAUUGCUAGUAAUCGUGGAUCAGCAUGCCACGGUGAAUACGUUCCCGGGUCUUGUACACACCGCCCGUCACACCAUGGGAGCCGGUAAUACCCGAAGUCAGUAGUCUAACCGCAAGGAGGACGCUGCCGAAGGUAGGAUUGGCGACUGGGGUGAAGUCGUAACAAGGUAUC